RNAcentral lists this long non-coding RNA (223 nucleotides) under Mytilus galloprovincialis (Mediterranean mussel). The record is from RNAcentral. Lineage: Eukaryota; Metazoa; Mollusca; Bivalvia; Mytilida; Mytilidae.
CUGUAAUAAUCAAGUUUUUUUUUUAUAUCAAUUUGAGUGACUUUUGAAAGAACCAUUUAAUAAUACAUAUUUUUUUUACAUGAACAGUUGUUUGAACGAUCCCGUAUCUUUAUUAUAAAAUGUUCCGUUACACGAGCGUUCGCGAAGAACUUUACAUCAAGAAAAGUUUUCGUUUUUACAGCACUUUCUAGUGGUCAACAUAACAGGAAGGUAUCAUCGGCGC